AAGUCGUAACAAGGUUUCCGUAGGUGAACCUGCGGAAGGAUCAUUAACAACAUAUCCUAACUAAAAAACCCUGUGAACUUUCAAUGUCCCGAACCUUUGAUCCGAGGACUUCAGCAAUCUCUGGUAAAUCAUAGUGAACAGCUUUUGAUUCAGAGACCUCUGGGAAGGGUGUACGGUAGUGCGAGGCAAUUGACCUGGCAUUCCUCUGCUUGUUAGUGUCUGAAAGUGUCACUAGCUAUGUACGGAUGGCGCAGUAACGAUCGCUGGAGGCCGACACGGCCGGCGACCAGGUCACUGGGCUACGGCCCCCCUGAUCACAACCUUUGCAUGAAAACGGGCCUGCGCUGAGGUGCGGCCACCCCUAAUGCUUGAACAACUGUUAACAAUGGAUAUCUUGGUUCUC
RNAcentral lists this unclassified non-coding RNA (403 nucleotides) under fungal sp. RNAcentral describes it as "partial internal transcribed spacer region". The stretch from base 1 to 46 matches the Rfam family "Eukaryotic small subunit ribosomal RNA", at positions 1786 to 1831 of the family's 1831-position model. The record is from RNAcentral. Lineage: Eukaryota; Fungi.